Molecule: ribosomal RNA, 497 nt
Filed under: uncultured bacterium
Lineage: Bacteria
Description: bacterial SSU rRNA
Rfam family: Bacterial small subunit ribosomal RNA
Source: RNAcentral
GGACGAACGCUGGCAGCGUGCCUAAUACAUGCAAGUCGAGCGGACCAAAGGGAGCUUGCUCCUGGAGGUUAGCGGCGAACGGGUGAGUAACACGUGGGCAACCUGCCUGUAAGACUGGGAUAACAUCGAGAAAUCGGUGCUAAUACCGGAUAAUAAAAAGAACUGCAUGGUUCUUUUUUGAAAGAUGGUUUCGGCUAUCACUUACAGAUGGGCCCGCGGCGCAUUAGCUAGUUGGUGAGGUAACGGCUCACCAAGGCGACGAUGCGUAGCCGACCUGAGAGGGUGAUCGGCCACACUGGGACUGAGACACGGCCCAGACUCCUACGGGAGGCAGCAGUAGGGAAUCUUCCGCAAUGGACGAAAGUCUGACGGAGCAACGCCGCGUGAGUGAUGAAGGUUUUCGGAUCGUAAAACUCUGUUGUUAGGGAAGAACAAGUGCCGUUCGAAAGGGCGGCACCUUGACGGUACCUAACGAGAAAGCCACGGCUAACUACGUG